Molecule: RNase P RNA, 345 nt
Filed under: Candidatus Thorarchaeota archaeon
Lineage: Archaea; Promethearchaeati; Candidatus Thorarchaeota
Description: RNase P RNA component
Rfam family: Archaeal RNase P
About the family: Ribonuclease P (RNase P) is a ubiquitous endoribonuclease, found in archaea, bacteria and eukarya as well as chloroplasts and mitochondria. Its best characterised activity is the generation of mature 5'-ends of tRNAs by cleaving the 5'-leader elements of precursor-tRNAs.
Source: RNAcentral
UGGAGCGGAAGAGCGACUGACGGUACCUGCCUGUUCAAAGAGGCAGGCGCUGAGGAAGCUCCCAACUACGCGCCGACACCAGUCUUGCGCAAGCAAUGGGGUGAGAGCCUCGCUCUGGGAACAGAAACGAGACCCCCGGACCGGGCGUGACGAUGAUUCGGCCAUUCGAGCCGCUGAGAAUCCAGUUCGGAACGGUUGAAACGGCCCAACACUGGGUAGCAACUCCAAGAAUACACCGCUGAUGUGUCGGCCUGAGGUGUAGGGUAGGAGGCACAGUCGGAUGUCGCAAGGCCUGCGCUGGCAACGGCCGCAGGUGGAACAGAAUUGGGGCUACUCUCCGGACCA